This 579-nucleotide long non-coding RNA is filed under the name Homo sapiens (human). RNAcentral describes it as "long non-coding RNA NONHSAT220069.1". The record is from RNAcentral. Lineage: Eukaryota; Metazoa; Chordata; Mammalia; Primates; Hominidae.
UCUUAGGUCAGCUUUCUCCAAAGUAGUGUCUAAUUUGUAAAAUUUUCUCAUGACUUUUAUUUCUCAAUGUAUGCUUUCAUCGAUCUCGCAGAGUUCUUGGGGCUGGAAUGGAGAACAAUGACUUCAGGCAAUGUGUGGUCUGCCCUUGGCAGUGGCCUUUCCUUUGGCUUUUCCUGGUCAAAAUGGUUCAGACUCCCUUGAGUGAGCAGCACAGCCACAGAAGAAUCCCAUCUCUUUUCUCAUAGUUCAAGUUUCUCUAAAUUUGAUGACAUGGUCCUGUUCUGUCCUUGACUCAUUCUCUGAUCUUAGGUAAGUUAACUUCUUCAUGUCGCAGUUCCCCAUCUCAUUUAGAAGGUGCAAUGAAAAGCAAUUCAAACAGACUCGAUCCUCAUGAAGUCUUUCUGAGUUUGGUAUUAUUUUUCCUUCUUUUUUUCAGAUGAAGAAACAGGCUGCAAGGCCAGACCUCUUUCCCAUGAUUCUUCCCUUAGGGUGGGCUGCCCGCCUGCACAGAGCCCUCCUUAGCUUUGGGAAGCAAGCAUGCGCCAUGUGUUAAAGGCGUUAUUGGCAUGCCCCUCCGAG